AUUGAACGCUGGCGGCAGGCUUAACACAUGCAAGUCGAACGGUAACAUAAAGAAGCUUGCUUCUUUGAUGACGAGUGGCGGACGGGUGAGUAAUGCUUGGGAAUCUAGCUUAUGGAGGGGGAUAACUACGGGAAACUGUAGCUAAUACCGCGUAAUAUCGAAAGAUUAAAGUGUGGGACCUUCGGGCCACAUGCCAUAGGAUGAGCCCAAGUGGGAUUAGGUAGUUGGUGAGGUAAAGGCUCACCAAGCCGACGAUCUCUAGCUGGUCGGAGAGGAUGACCAGCCACACUGGGACUGAGACACGGCCCAGACUCCUACGGGAGGCAGCAGUGGGGAAUAUUGCGCAAUGGGGGCAACCCUGACGCAGCCAUGCCGCGUGAAUGAAGAAGGCCUUCGGGUUGUAAAGUUCUUUCGGUAGCGAGGAAGGCACUUAGUUUAAUAGACUAGGUGAUUGACGUUAACUACAGAAGAAGCACCGGCUAACUCCGUGCCAGCAGCCGCCGUAA
Molecule: ribosomal RNA, 506 nt
Filed under: uncultured bacterium
Lineage: Bacteria
Description: partial 16S ribosomal RNA
Rfam family: Bacterial small subunit ribosomal RNA
Source: RNAcentral